Molecule: transfer RNA, 74 nt
Filed under: Patescibacteria group bacterium
Lineage: Bacteria
Description: tRNA-Pro
Rfam family: tRNA
About the family: Transfer RNA (tRNA) molecules are approximately 80 nucleotides in length. Their secondary structure includes four short double-helical elements and three loops (D, anti-codon, and T loops).
Source: RNAcentral
CGGGGACUAGCUCAGAUGGCUAGAGUGCUGCGUUCGGGACGCAGAGGCCGCCGGUUCGAGUCCGGCGUCCCCGA